Molecule: microRNA, 23 nt
Filed under: Petromyzon marinus (sea lamprey)
Lineage: Eukaryota; Metazoa; Chordata; Hyperoartia; Petromyzontiformes; Petromyzontidae
Description: pma-miR-875
Gene: pma-miR-875
Source: miRBase by way of RNAcentral
AAUACCUCAGAAUUGUCAGGGUG